GUGAUUAUCGGGGAAUAAUCACCCCGACUUCGUCUCGGCGAAUAUUCCCCGACAAUCACCUCGCCUUCGGCGAAUAAUUGUUAAUUGUUUUGCUUUUUCGACUUGUAAAUGUUUUGACUCAGGCACUCAGCGUAAGGUUUAGUAAAGUUUUAAGCCCUGUAAAGGCCAUAAUUUAGUGUAUAAAAUAACAUGACUGCACUUCGUGCGUUGUUCACUCAAUGGACUUUGACCACUGUAAGUUCUAUAUUUUAAUUUAUUAUAAAGUUUUGGUUUCUUAGUUUAAUACUGUGUAUACAAUAUGGUAAAUGCGCCUAGCAGUAUUAGACUUAAUUAUAUGAAAUCAGAUAGCAAAAACUUGUGUUAUAUAAUUCACCUGUACGUCUUACAGUGCGCGAGAACACUAACCAAUCGCAUUGCAGAACAAAAAGAUGAUCUAAUCAAACUAAAGCUCGUCCAAUCAAAAGAAAGAUUCAGGAAGCGUUUAACUGCAG
Molecule: non-coding RNA, 491 nt
Organism: Paramuricea clavata
Lineage: Eukaryota; Metazoa; Cnidaria; Anthozoa; Malacalcyonacea; Plexauridae
Source: the annotation of a GenBank genome assembly